Molecule: non-coding RNA, 786 nt
Filed under: Ochthebius lividipennis
Lineage: Eukaryota; Metazoa; Arthropoda; Insecta; Coleoptera; Hydraenidae
Source: RNAcentral
AAAAAGUUUUAUUUUAGCUUGGAAUAUUAAUUUAUAAUUUUUUUUUACAUGUGAGUUUUUGCGUGAAUUAUAUAAAAUUUAAAAAAUUUUUUAUAAAAUUAUUUAUUCGCAGUUUAUAAUUUUUUAUAUUUAAGAAAUUAAGAUAAAGAUAUUUAUAUUAAUAUUAACAAAGUUUGUGCCAGCAGUUGCGGUUAAACAAACAAUAUAAUUAAUAUUUUUUAGUAAAUAAUUAAAUGGAUUUUUUUUUUAAAUAAAAAUUAAUUUUAUUAAGUGAAAUUUUAAAAUUAAUAAAUUUUAUAAAAAAUAAUUUGAAGUUAUUAAAUUUUUAUUUAAACUAGGAUUAGAUACCCUAUUAUUUAAAAUGUAAAUUUUAUUACUAAAUUAUUAAUAGUUAUGUUCUUAAAAAUUAAAAAAUUUGGCGGUAUUUUAGUCUUUUCAGAGGAACCUGUUCUAUAAUCGAUAGUCCACGAUUAGUUUUACUUUUAUUAAUUAAUUUGUAUAUCGUCGUAGUUUGAAUAUUUUUUAAGAAUUUAAAUAUUCAAAAUUUAUAAUUAUAAAAAAAAUCAGAUCAAGGUAUAGUUUAUAUAAAAGAAGAAAUGGGUUACAAUAAAUAAAUUUAUGGAUUUAAAAUUUAAAUAUUUUAAUUAAAUUGGAUUUGAAAGUAAUAUAAUUAAUUUAAAUUAUAUGAUUUAAGCUCUAAAAUAUGUACAUAUCGCCCGUCGCUCUCAAAUAAAUUGAGAUAAGUCGUAACAAAGUAGAUGUACUGGAAAGUGUAUCUAGAAAGAA